Molecule: long non-coding RNA, 382 nt
Filed under: Elaeis guineensis (African oil palm)
Lineage: Eukaryota; Viridiplantae; Streptophyta; Magnoliopsida; Arecales; Arecaceae
Description: long non-coding RNA (EGUI_LNC003293)
Source: RNAcentral
CAUAGAUCUCCAAAAAAAAACCUUUCUCCCCUGAUUUUUGCUUCUGCUUUUUCCCUCCCCGCUUUCCUCCCACUAGUCGCUUAAAUCAAACAAAGCUACAUAAAUCGAAGAGGAAGGCAAAGGAGGAGGAUGCGUCCAUCAGAAUCUCCUAGGUCUUCCCCUCCUCUAAUCUUGUCGACCUUGUUCACUCCCUCUCCCACCUCUUCGGCCUCGAUUUUCUGCUCUACACCCGCCAAAAUCUCAAUAAUCCCACUAUCCGUAAUCCUAACCUAUUUCUUGAUGAUGGAUUUCGCUUUUGGGAGUCGGGGACAACACAGGCGGCGAUGCCAACAAGUUUUCAGUGGAGGCCAUGGAACCUAGCGAAGUCGAAAUAAAGGAAGGC